CAGUCGCCACGGUAACACAGAGGGUGCGAGCGUUAAUCGGAUUUACUGGGCGUAAAGCGUGCGUAGGCGGCUUCUUAAGUCGGAUGUGAAAUCCCUGAGCUUAACUUAGGAAUUGCAUUCGAUACUGGGAAGCUAGAGUAUGGGAGAGGAUGGUAGAAUUCCAGGUGUAGCGGUGAAAUGCGUAGAGAUCUGGAGGAAUACCGAUGGCGAAGGCAGCCAUCUGGCCUAAUACUGACGCUGAGGUACGAAAGCAUGGGGAGCAAACAGGAUUAGAUACCCCGGUAGUCCCUGUCUCUUAUAC
Molecule: ribosomal RNA, 301 nt
Filed under: uncultured bacterium
Lineage: Bacteria
Description: partial 16S ribosomal RNA
Rfam family: Bacterial small subunit ribosomal RNA
Source: RNAcentral